This 208-nucleotide ribosomal RNA is filed under the name iceman fungal clone T18217. Lineage: Eukaryota; Fungi; Basidiomycota. The record is from RNAcentral.
ACUCUUCAACCCACCAGUUUCUUGUAGACUGAAUGGUGUUUGGAUUUUGAAUGCUGCUGGUCCCUCGGGACGAAGCUCGUUCGUAAUAUAUUAGCAUCUCUAAUUCGAAAUCGGAUUGACUCAGUGUAAUAGACUAUUCGCUGAGGACACUUCGGGUGGCCGAAAUAGAACCAGUGGAAGCUUCUAACUCCUAUAGUCAACUUUAGAU